AAGGCUUGACAUGGGAAGUAGUAAUAUACUAAACAGAGAAAUCUGUUGAAUCACACAGGUGGUGCAUGUCGUCGUCAGUUCGUGCUNUGAAGCGUAUGCUUAAGUGCUAGAACGAACGCAACCCUCAUAUUUAGUUGCUACCAUUUAGUUGAGAACCCUAAAUAGACUGCCAGGGUAACCUGGAGGAAGGAGAGGAUGACGUCUGAUCAUCAUGCCCCUUAUGCCUUGGG
This 230-nucleotide ribosomal RNA is filed under the name uncultured bacterium. RNAcentral describes it as "partial 16S ribosomal RNA". It matches the Rfam family "Bacterial small subunit ribosomal RNA", at positions 976 to 1213 of the family's 1533-position model. The record is from RNAcentral.